CCUACGGGUGGCAGCAGUGAGGAAUAUUGGUCAAUGGACGAGAGUCUGAACCAGCCAAGUAGCGUGAAGGAUGACUGCCCUAUGGGUUGUAAACUUCUUUUAUAAAGGAAUAAAACGAGGCACGUGUGCCUUUUUGCAUGUACUUUAUGAAUAAGGAUCGGCUAACUCCGUGCCAGCAGCCGCGGUAAUACGGCGGAUCCGAGCGUUAUCCGGAUUUAUUGGGUGUAAAGGGAGCGUAGAUGGGUUGUUAAGUCAGUUGUGAAAGUUUGCGGCUCAACCGUAAAAUUGCAAUUGAUACUGGCAGUCUUGAGUACAGUAGAGGUAGGCGGAAUUCGUGGUGUAGCGGUGAAAUGCUUAGAUAUCACGAAGAACCCCGAUUGCGAAGGCAGCUUACUAAACUGUGACUGACAUUGAUGCUCGAAAGCGUGGGUAUCGAACAGGAUUAGAUACCCCUGUAGUC
RNAcentral lists this ribosomal RNA (460 nucleotides) under uncultured bacterium. Its description in RNAcentral is "partial 16S ribosomal RNA". It matches the Rfam family "Bacterial small subunit ribosomal RNA", at positions 338 to 795 of the family's 1533-position model. The record is from RNAcentral.